This 600-nucleotide ribosomal RNA is filed under the name Enterococcus faecalis. RNAcentral describes it as "bacterial SSU rRNA". It matches the Rfam family "Bacterial small subunit ribosomal RNA", at positions 42 to 614 of the family's 1533-position model. The record is from RNAcentral. Lineage: Bacteria; Bacillati; Bacillota; Bacilli; Lactobacillales; Enterococcaceae.
GUGCGGCUGCAUACUGCAGUCGAACGCUUCUUUCCUCCCGAGUGCUUGCACUCAAUUGGAAAGAGGAGUGGCGGACGGGUGAGUAACACGUGGGUAACCUACCCAUCAGAGGGGGAUAACACUUGGAAACAGGUGCUAAUACCGCAUAACAGUUUAUGCCGCAUGGCAUAAGAGUGAAAGGCGCUUUCGGGUGUCGCUGAUGGAUGGACCCGCGGUGCAUUAGCUAGUUGGUGAGGUAACGGCUCACCAAGGCCACGAUGCAUAGCCGACCUGAGAGGGUGAUCGGCCACACUGGGACUGAGACACGGCCCAGACUCCUACGGGAGGCAGCAGUAGGGAAUCUUCGGCAAUGGACGAAAGUCUGACCGAGCAACGCCGCGUGAGUGAAGAAGGUUUUCGGAUCGUAAAACUCUGUUGUUAGAGAAGAACAAGGACGUUAGUAACUGAACGUCCCCUGACGGUAUCUAACCAGAAAGCCACGGCUAACUACGUGCCAGCAGCCGCGGUAAUACGUAGGUGGCAAGCGUUGUCCGGAUUUAUUGGGCGUAAAGCGAGCGCAGGCGGUUUCUUAAGUCUGAUGUGAAAGCCCCCGGCUCAACC